Non-coding RNA from Podarcis lilfordi (Lilford's wall lizard), 74 nucleotides. The record is from the annotation of a GenBank genome assembly. Lineage: Eukaryota; Metazoa; Chordata; Lepidosauria; Squamata; Lacertidae.
AGAGCUGUGGCUCAGUGGUAUAGCAUCUGCUUUGCAUGUGAACGCGGUCCCAAGUUCAAUUCUUGGCAUCUCUG